This 264-nucleotide long non-coding RNA is filed under the name Elaeis guineensis (African oil palm). RNAcentral's name for it is "long non-coding RNA (EGUI_LNC050032)". Lineage: Eukaryota; Viridiplantae; Streptophyta; Magnoliopsida; Arecales; Arecaceae. The record is from RNAcentral.
CCGCAUGAUUUAGGAUGCCUCUUUAGAUUGAAAAAAGAACGAAAAAGUACAAUAUUGGGAUCAAUCCCAGCCAAUACGUACACUACGGUAAAAAUGCAGAUAUACCACCAUGAGUUUGGAAUUACCGAGCAUGAUGACAUUUUAAGAAAUUGAAAAAAAAGUUAUAAAAAAGAGAUGGAGUGGAAGCCUUAGCCCAGCCUGGAAGCACUCUUCAUAGAGGCUUAUCCGACCUGGAGGGAUGGCAAACUCGAUCGUUCGGCCUCG